This 690-nucleotide unclassified non-coding RNA is filed under the name Hevea brasiliensis (rubber tree). Lineage: Eukaryota; Viridiplantae; Streptophyta; Magnoliopsida; Malpighiales; Euphorbiaceae. The record is from RNAcentral.
CUUCUUCUUCUUCUUCUUUCUUGAACUCCAAGAAAUUGGAAACACCAUCUUCAGAAGAAACCCUCCAUUGUCUAUGCUUUCACUUCUGUUCACUUGCCUUCUUUUAUCAUUCUUUUUCUUCUCUGCUUUUUCCCUUGCAUUAAAAUCUUCACCAUUUAUACUCCUUUCUUUACUAAAAUUCUCUUCCUUAGUCUGAUCAACCAUGCUCCUCUUCUCUACAAUAUCUCUCAAAGAUAACUCGAAACAUCCCUCAGGCAUUCGACUCACCAUCUCCAUGAGCUCUUUCUGGCCUCUGGCAACCUCUUGAGCUCUCGACGAUGGAGAAAGACUUCGAUAGUGGUUCUGGCGAUGUUGGGGACUUCUGGGUGGACUUGUUCUCCACAAAGGUGGGGAACAUAUCCCAGAAUCUUCAUCAUCUGUAAACUUUCUCUCAGCUCCAAAUCCCGGCAAGCUAUUCCGUUUCUGGUAAUUGGCAUAAUUCUGUGCCGUUUUCUGAGCUCGGAAGCCAUAAUUUGUGGUACCGUGGCCUUUAUAACUGUCACUUAUUCGGCUAGUAGUAUGAUUGGAAAAAUGUAGAUGGUUGGUUUCAGGAGAUUUUGUGGCAGGAUCUUGCAUCGUUUAAUUUCUGGAUCGAAAUCAGGAUAAGAGAAGUUGAGAUUUUCUGGUAAAAAAAAAAAGUUGGGAUUUUUC